This is a long non-coding RNA of Oncorhynchus tshawytscha (Chinook salmon), 430 nucleotides long. Lineage: Eukaryota; Metazoa; Chordata; Actinopteri; Salmoniformes; Salmonidae. The record is from Ensembl.
GACUGCCAGGUGAGCCUGAACUUUGCAGCUGAGGCAGAGAGGUUCUGUGCAGCCUUGGAGAGACAGAUCCAACAAGCCCCAGAUUUGGAAAGCAACACACACACACACACACACGUCACAUCACAUUUACAAUAUAAUUAGUUCUCUCAGCUUCAGGCAGACGGUAGUCCCAGGUGGGAGUGGGCCCAGAGCAAGGCCUCAGUUCUAGUGAGCUGGACCCUGCUCUGAGGAAUCUGCUCAGGAAGGCGGGGCUAAACAAGGAGGAUAUGAAGGACAGACACACCCUCCUCCUAGAGGGGCACACCCUGAGAUGAUCAGAAAGAGCUUUCAGUGAGAGAAUAUGACUGUGGCAUGUCAAUGACAGUUGUAGACAAUUUCCAAUACAUGGUGAAUUUGAUGUGUGGUUAGUACAAUGGUGUCUGUGUGCACG